RNAcentral lists this unclassified non-coding RNA (387 nucleotides) under soil metagenome. RNAcentral describes it as "partial contains 5.8S ribosomal RNA, internal transcribed spacer 2, and large subunit ribosomal RNA". The stretch from base 1 to 120 matches the Rfam family "5.8S ribosomal RNA", at positions 35 to 154 of the family's 154-position model. The record is from RNAcentral.
GAUGAAGAACGUAGCGAAAUGCGAUAAGUAAUGUGAAUUGCAGAAUUCAGUGAAUCAUCGAAUCUUUGAACGCACCUUGCACCCUUUGGCAUUCCGAAGGGUAUGCUCGUUUGAGUGUCAUUGUACUCUCACACUCUCCGAUCCUAUGGAUUCGGGGAGCGGUGGACUUGGGUGUUGCUGCCUUUCCCUGUGGCUCACCUCAAAUGCGUCAGUGCACCUCUUGGUUGGACAUAGUACGGCGUGAUAAGUGUCUUCGCCGGCACCUCGCAAGAGGGUGGCCGAUCGGGAGCUCUGUGCUUUCAAACCGUCUUCGGACAAUUUCUGACAUCUUGACCUCAAAUCGAGUAGGACUACCCGCUGAACUUAAGCAUAUCAAUAAGCGGAGGA